Girardinichthys multiradiatus is the source of this 1106-nucleotide long non-coding RNA. RefSeq lists it as uncharacterized. The record is from RefSeq and is a predicted model, not a curated record. The transcript has 2 exons. NCBI's taxonomy places the organism in Eukaryota, Metazoa, Chordata, Actinopteri, Cyprinodontiformes, Goodeidae.
AACAAAUAUCAUGUGGAGAAAACAGCAUGUGGACGCGGCAGUCUCACUUCCGGGUUCUGCUUCUUCUUCUUGCUUACGAAUUGGUGAAUUACCGCCACCUACUGGGUCAAGGGUCAGGGCUGCCAGCAGCCAUUGGGUGAGAGGUCAUCACAGGACAAGACAGGAUGUUCACAGACUGUUCUGGGUAGCGAAACUUUGAAAAUGUUUUGUUAAAUAUUAAAGUAAAAUUUGUCACACCAAACAGUUGGACUCAGACUGUUUGUGAUGGUUCUUAAAUCUGUUAUUCUUCAGCCUCUAAAUUACCUCUGUUCCUUUACAGAGCAACUUCAGUUACUCUGUAAAGGAACAAUCAGCUCCUACGAGAACACAUUGACCUCCAAAACCCGGAAACUGAGAACAGCUCCAGUUUAUAUUUAACCUUCUAAACUAUUUUAUUGAUAUAUUGAAAAAACAAAUACAUACAAACAUCUUUCACAUAGUUUAACUCCUCAACAAGAGCUGCAUUGAAAUGCUCGUGAUAUGUUCCGGCACUACAGCAGAGUAAACAUCUGAUUAAAGGAACAGUUCACCUGUUCUGAGAAACAGACACGUUGCAGAUAAGCUUCAGGCUCUGUGUUGGUAUGAGUGUCGCCAGUCUGUAUAUUUCAGAAGGAUGUUGCUGCAUGCAGAGUGAAGGUAGAAGGGAAGGGCCACUGCCCUCAGGGCUCCUCAGAAGAACAAAGUCUGAUCCCUCAACACAUUUUACUGACAAACAGGUUUCAAUAAUACUUCAAUACCACUGCAAAGCAAACAGAAAACACAGAAAUCAGCAUCUGAAGACAGAAAGGUUUCAGCAGAUGUCUGCAGGUUGGAGAGCAGAAAGAGAGCUUGGCCUCAGCCUGAUCUGUAAACUGGUAAAAGUGUUCAUCAUGAUGUUGUCACGUACAUGGAGCUGGAGCAGAACAGCACAUGUCUGGGUUGGUGUAGUAGCACUCAGAAUAUUAAGAGCUGCACAGUCUUUAUUUUACAGUCUGGGUGUUGACGAGGCGUUCGGGGGAAGGCACUGUGGCGUCUGAUUGGUCGAGAUCAGCCAGCAGCCUCUCUCAGUUGGCUCAGGGCGGGGCAAA